RNAcentral lists this transfer RNA (75 nucleotides) under Chlorobiota bacterium. RNAcentral describes it as "Chlorobi bacterium tRNA-Gly". It matches the Rfam family "tRNA". From Rfam's summary of the family: Transfer RNA (tRNA) molecules are approximately 80 nucleotides in length. Their secondary structure includes four short double-helical elements and three loops (D, anti-codon, and T loops). The record is from RNAcentral. Lineage: Bacteria; Pseudomonadati; Chlorobiota.
GCGGGAGUAGCUCAGUGGUAGAGCAUCAGUUUCCCAAACUGAGGGCCGCGGGUUCGAUCCCCGUCUCCCGCUCAA